GGGUGUCACUGCGUAGUUAUAGCAACGGAGGAUGGACUCCUUUCUGGGGUUUUGUUGGUUUCACAGUUUUUGGGCUUUUUGCGGUGGAGUUGUUUCAUAAGGACUGGGAUGGGGUUGUAUUGCCGGAGGAGGUUCGGGCUUUGUAGGAUGGGGUUGCAGCAUGCAUUUUGUUAUUUCUGUUAAGGCGGCUCUUUGGCCAAAGGGUGUUUCCGUGGGUGCGGGAGUUCUUGGGAUGGAUGGUCGUUGGGCGGUUUUUCUUUUGUUUCCGCGACGUGCAUCUCCAUGGCUUCGGCGAGGAGGGCGUGCCUUUCUUUUUCAAACGAUCUGGUUGCUGUUGCUGCUUGCCAAUUCGCUGUUGUGUCCUUCUCGUGGGCUGCUG
Molecule: long non-coding RNA, 379 nt
Filed under: Androctonus crassicauda
Lineage: Eukaryota; Metazoa; Arthropoda; Arachnida; Scorpiones; Buthidae
Source: RNAcentral